AUAAGAGCUGCACAGCUUUGGGGCCUCAGAGAAAAGGCUAGAAUCUUUGUUCAUUCAGGGAGAUGGUUGAUGGGCUGCUUGGAUGAGCUAGGGGUGCUUGAACAAGGACAAUGCUUUAUACAAGUGUCGAACCCAUCUUUGGAAAACUGUUUCUUGAAGCAUGGCUCAAGGUUUAGUGAGGCUAAGAAAAAUCUACAAGUAAUCAAGGGUACUGUGGUGAUAGCUAAGAAUCCUUGUCUUCAUCCUGGAGAUAUAAGGAUCUUGGAAGCAGUUGAUGCUCCUGGACUGCACCAUUUACAUGAUUGCCUUGUCUUCCCACAGAAGGGUGACAGGCCUCACACAAAUGAAGC
RNAcentral lists this unclassified non-coding RNA (350 nucleotides) under Hevea brasiliensis (rubber tree). The record is from RNAcentral. Lineage: Eukaryota; Viridiplantae; Streptophyta; Magnoliopsida; Malpighiales; Euphorbiaceae.